AAUUUCGGUAAAUGGUAAGCCGAAAUGGUAAAUGGUAAACCAUUUCGGUAAAUGGUUUACCUAAGUAUAAAUACGGUGGAGAAAACCGAUAAGACUUUAGUACGACUUUACCCUGGGCAAGUAACACACGCUAAUUCCAAGCGAUUUAAUAUAUAUAACGUGACGGUACCCAAAUUGCACCUAUUUUGACAGUUUUUUCAACUACGUUUUUUUAUGAUUAAGACAAAAGUUUCAAUUUUGUGUUUAUUUUGUAGCCGUAUCCUUCUUUACUAUAGAGUGGGGUGCUCAUUUUCGCCGGGGACACAAUUUCGCCGUUUUAGGAUUUUGAGGUGUAAACACUUCAAAGGAUGGCUGAAAUGGAAGAAAUGUACCCGUAAAUUAUAUUUUUAUAACAAAUAUAAUAUUUUUUUUAAACUGAGACAAAAUUGCGGCUCCUACCGAAAAUGACCGAAAAACGGACAACGAUUUUCGGACAAUUUCCUGAAUAAAAAACACGAUUUCAAAGAAGUAUUUUCUAAGUAAAUAUUUGACUGAAUGCCCUAAUUUUGAAUUCUUUAUACCUUUGAAAUGUCUGCUAUUCAUCUAUAAUGCAAUUGAUUUGACAAAAAUUGAUAAAAGCUGCGGUUAUUUGGUUUUAAAUAGAUGUGUAAAAACGGCGAAUAUGUGUCCCCCAUUGACAAAACAUCCGGAAAUUUCAAACACCCUUUAAUCUAACUUUUCAGAUGAUUUUCUUAAAACAAACCGGUUUUCAAGCUUAAGAAUAUUUUGCAUUUGAAGUUAUCUUCAUAUAGAAAUAUCAGUAUACUUCAAAAACAUUUAGACCUGAACAUAAACUGUAGAAAA
Molecule: long non-coding RNA, 843 nt
Filed under: Mytilus galloprovincialis (Mediterranean mussel)
Lineage: Eukaryota; Metazoa; Mollusca; Bivalvia; Mytilida; Mytilidae
Source: RNAcentral